This is a long non-coding RNA of Rhincodon typus (whale shark), 1551 nucleotides long. RefSeq lists it as uncharacterized. The record is from RefSeq and is a predicted model, not a curated record. The transcript is spliced from 2 exons. NCBI's taxonomy places the organism in Eukaryota, Metazoa, Chordata, Chondrichthyes, Orectolobiformes, Rhincodontidae.
AGAGCUGCGGUUGCAGGAGAUGCUGUCGAUGGGGAUGGGAAGCAAGCUCAGCUUGGACUGCCUGGGCACAGCCGAUGCCGUGCGUUGGCCACCCGCGGCCUGCGUCCCCACCGAGAAAGAAAAGAUAACCUCAGAGUGACGGGGACAGCCCAACGGACAUUACAAAUAAAAACGAAACGGGAUAGGCGGAGGUCAUGUUGGGGAUCCCGGAGCUGUGGACGAAUGUGCCGACGAUAUCCCAGGCUCGGAAAGGACGGACAGCGCCAGUGGUGAAGGUGACGGAUCCGACCCACCUUCCCCCCACCACCACCCCCAGCCCCUGGGAGAAAAGGACAUGCAAGAUCCCGAGCUCCCGGUGCCCUGUCCCACUUGCACACACUGCCACGCUCCCCAGUCAGCAGCAUCUCUGUCUCGGGCCCUGCUGCGGCGCUAAGAGAAGGAGCACCGUCUCUGACCAUCCUGCUUGGGCAGCCUGCAGCCUUCGGCACUCAAUCUCCAGUUUGGUCACGUCCUUUACCCAGCAACCGCGCCCCCCUCAACCUCCACAGGCCCAGGCCCAGGCCCAGGCCCUGUUCUUGACCGGAGCUGCUUUCCACACAUCUAACACUGCUGUCACCUGCUGAUGGGCCCCAUUCUCACCGAUCUAGCUUCUCUGGUUUACCACCUCAGUGACUGUGUUCCUCUCUCUCUCUGUCAGUCUCUUUCGCUCUAUCUCUCUCACUGUCUCUCUGUUUCCCUCAGUCUGUUUCUAUCUCUCUCUCUCUCUCUAUCUGUCUCGCACUCCCUCCCUCUCUCUGUCUCUCUGUCAGUCUCUCUCACUGUCUCUGUCUCUCUAUCAGUCUCUCUCACUCUCUCUUCUCUCUAUCUGUCUCUCUCACUGUAUCUCUCUCUGUCUCUGUUUCCCUCAGUCUAUUUCUAUCUAUCUCUGUCUCGCUCUCCUUCUCUCUCCCUCUGUCAGUCUCUCUCACUUUCUCUGUCUGUCUCUCUCACUGUAUCUCUCUCUGUCUCACUGUUUCCCUCAGUCUAUUUCGAUAUAUCUCUGUCUCGGUCUCCCUCUUUCUCUCUCUCUGGGUUCUGUCUCCACCUAUCAACUCAUGAUGGGAGUCAUCCAGACAAAGAGGUGAGGGAGAGGUCCACCGAACUCACUCACUCACUCACUCGCACUCACACACUCACUCGCACUCACACACUCACUCGCACUCACUCACUCACUCACUCACGCACCGGCUCACCGACUCAUGCCCUCUCUCACCCGCUCAAUCACUCGUUCACAAACCGACUCCUCACCCCAGCCACUGAGUCCGUCACUCACCCACUCUCACGUCUCGGUUCAUGGACGGCCUGCCUGUCGAGUGGUACCAAGGCUGCCAGGGAGCAAGGCGAAGCGGUCACAGUUAGGAUCGAUCUUCCAGCUCGGCGCUGGCAGGAGAGAGCGGGGGGUGUGGGGGGACCAUGGUGAGGAUUGCUACUCUCAACAGGCUCCCAUUCGAAGAGGCGAGAGACGUGUCUCACAGACGAACCCUGUAAAUUAAGUAAACAUUGUGGAAAUAA